CCUCAUUUGCUGUGGUUAGCCACCGAACGGAGUGUUCCCGCAUCUGACAAGCGCGGGACCAGAAGAGGCUCAUUUGAUUUUUUUACUUUCCCAAAAUGCCGAAGCGGGCGUAUCCUUUCACGGAGACCUUCUCGUCUCAGUAUAAAAUACACGUCGGACAACGUGAACUUAAUAACGCCAGCGUUUUGGGGAGCAAAUACAGGAAAGAGAUCUACGAAAAGACGAAAAAUUUACUUUUUAAUGGUGCCAAAGCUGUGGUGGACAAAAUAUGGACUGGUGAGGAAAAAGUAAUCGGCCCUCGGCCAACAGGACAAGAGUUAACAGUUAAAAGCAGCCAGACUCUGUUAAGAGGGCAGACAUUGAUUGGAAGUGAUGGGAGGUUGACCAAAGCAACCAAACGAGAAGGAUCAUCGGCUGGUAUUGGCUGCUGCGUGUGUCAGAAGAGUGGAUCACGGCAGACAUCUUGUUUCCAGUGUGAGCGCCUUUCCUGCUUGUCUUGCAGCCGGCAGUGCUCCAACUGCUUCAACCAGUGCUGUUCUGUCUGCACCAUCAUUGAGUUUCGGUGGUAAAAUGUUGCUUCUUACCGGAGAUCAGCUGAGUUUGUGCCGUCCAUAAAGCUGCCGUUGACUUCCCUGAGACACUGCGCGUCAACAUACCCGUGGACACACCCCUCCGACUAUCAGUUACAGCGGACGUUAUGAUGAAGUUCUCUGCUGCAGUUGCUCAACGUAAUAAAAGUUUGGCACACGGAUCCGAUGAGUUUAUGCUUGAAUAUGUACUGUAGUAUCCUCCAUAUUAUGAAUUACUCUUGACUGCCUUUUACAAAUUCAUCAAUAUUGUCUUAUGUUUCUCCCGAUGACCUCAAUGUUUGCAUGUAUAGCUAUAGAAUGAAAUAAACUUGAACUUGACAUUUUUAUACACA
RNA transcript from Nerophis ophidion (straightnose pipefish), 922 nucleotides. It is a transcript of the gene named SIVA1, apoptosis-inducing factor, with no coding region annotated. Lineage: Eukaryota; Metazoa; Chordata; Actinopteri; Syngnathiformes; Syngnathidae. The transcript is spliced from 5 exons. The record is from RefSeq and is a predicted model, not a curated record.